CCCUUAGAUGUUCUGGGCUGCACGCGCGCUACACUGAUGCGCUCAACGAGUUUACGACCUUGCCCGGAAGGGUUGGGUAAUCUUUUCAAAACGCAUCGUGAUGGGGAUAGAUUAUUGCAAUUAUUAAUCUUCAACGAGGAAUGCCUAGUAGGCGCAAGUCAUCAGCUUGCGUCGAUUACGUCCCUGCCCUUUGCACACACCGCCCGUCGCUCCUACCGAUCGGGUGUGCUGGUGAAAUGUUCGGAUCGGCCGUUUGUCGCGGUUUCCGCGGCUCGUGGCUGAGAAGUUCAUUAAACCCUCCCACCUAGAGGAAGGAGAAGUCGUAACA
This 328-nucleotide ribosomal RNA is filed under the name uncultured eukaryote. Its description in RNAcentral is "partial 18S ribosomal RNA". It matches the Rfam family "Eukaryotic small subunit ribosomal RNA", at positions 1470 to 1796 of the family's 1831-position model. The record is from RNAcentral.